This is a long non-coding RNA of Terrapene triunguis (Three-toed box turtle), 825 nucleotides long. RefSeq lists it as uncharacterized. Lineage: Eukaryota; Metazoa; Chordata; Testudines; Emydidae. The record is from RefSeq and is a predicted model, not a curated record. The transcript has 3 exons.
GAGGGGCCGCGGCGGGCGCUGGAGGAGCUGCUCCUGGAGGGUGACCUGCUGGAGGUGACGCUGGAUGAGGGGCAGAGCCUCUGGAGGCUGCUGCAGGCCGCCCGGGCGCCCCCCGUCGACACCUUCCGCCACCUGCUGGAGCUGGAGCAGGCGGAGCGGCGCGGGGCCCGGGCGCGGGGCCGGGAUGCUGAGCGGCGCCGGAAGCGCCGGGCCGAGCGGGGGGAGCUGCCCCCCCUACCGAAGGAGGAGUUAGAGCCAAAGAGGAGCCGGGAGAGCGAGCCCCCCGAUGUGGCCCCCCCUGGGGCCGGCACCGACCACAGCCAGAACGGCGUUGGGCAGUUGUGACGCCGGCCCCCUCCUCCGGACCGGACGGCUGACGUGAUGGCGCCCUGACUGGUGGGGGAGGGGGGGGGCAGGGGGCGGAGCUGACCCCCCCCAGGACGCUCCCCGCCGGGGACCCCGGCCCGGACUCUGCCCAGUGAUGUAAUUAUUUUACGUUAUCCUUCCUUUUGUAUCAUGGAUACCUCGGCGCAGAGACUGGGAGCGGGGGGGCCAGGGGGCGCCGCCCCCCAGAACUGUGCCCCUCCGGAUUCACCGUGGACGUCUCGGGGACCCCUGAGAUACCAGCACAGCCAGAUCGGCCGGACCAGCGCCCCCCACUGGUUGGACUGACUCUGGGGGGACAGAUUCCCCCCCCUCACACACACACACUGCAGCCCUGCCCCCCCCUCCCCGGAGCUGCACAGCUGCCUCUCCAGCCCGGGAUGGGUUUUUUAUAGGAAUUGGGGGAACCACUUUGGGGUUUUUCGGGGGGUGGUGAGGGGG